This 78-nucleotide transfer RNA is filed under the name Microbispora rosea subsp. aerata. RNAcentral's name for it is "tRNA-Ser". The record is from RNAcentral. Lineage: Bacteria; Bacillati; Actinomycetota; Actinomycetes; Streptosporangiales; Streptosporangiaceae.
GGACGGCGCGGCCAGGCAGGCGGCCUGGCUGCUGUCCGGGCAGCCGGAACCGCCGGUCUGGGACACCGGCGCCGUCGA